This 775-nucleotide ribosomal RNA is filed under the name uncultured Neocallimastigales. RNAcentral's name for it is "partial large subunit ribosomal RNA". It matches the Rfam family "Eukaryotic large subunit ribosomal RNA", at positions 23 to 616 of the family's 3401-position model. Lineage: Eukaryota; Fungi; Neocallimastigomycota; Neocallimastigomycetes; Neocallimastigales. The record is from RNAcentral.
AGAGAGAGACAUGCGCGCAUAUCAAUAAGCGGAGGAAAAGAAACUAACAAGGAUUCCCUUAGUAACGGCGAGUGAAGCGGGAAGAGCUCAAAUUUGAAAUCUUCAAGGGUUUACCUUUACGAAUUGUAGUUUAAAGAAGUGUUUUCUGUUGAGGUUUUGGUAAAAGUUCUUUGGAAUAGGGACAUCAUAGAGGGUGAGAAUCCCGUAUUUGACCUUUACUUUCAACUUUGUGAUACACUUUCAAAGAGUCGGAUUGUUUGGGAAUGCAGUCCAAAAUGGGUGGUAAAUUUCAUCUAAAGCUAAAUAUUGGCGAGAGACCGAUAGCGAACAAGUACCGUGAGGGAAAGAUGAAAAGAACUUUGAAAAGAGAGUUAAACAGUACGUGGAAUUGUCAAAAGGGAAGCGUUUGACACCAGUGUUGUUUUUCUGAAAAUCAAUUAAAGAACUGUUUAUGCUAAGUUGUUUAGACUUUAUCAGCUAACUGUUUAGUUUUGAGCUUUUCUUUAAUGCACUUUUCAGUUAACAAGUCAACAUCAAUUUCUUUUGCUGUAAAAAAGCUUGAGGAAGGCGGCUUGAGAUUCGUCUUAAGUGUUUAUAGCCUCUUGCCUAUGCAGUCGGAGAGAUUGAGGUCUGCAGCGUAGAUCCUUCGGGGCUAAAUGCAUUUGUGCUAAGUUAUAGCAUUUUAUAGACAACUUGUUGACUAUGAUUUGUCUUGUAGCUUACUCGCUUAUGUUAUUUUACCUACGCUUAGGAUGUUGAGCGCAUGUCUCUCUCU